Molecule: transfer RNA, 51 nt
Filed under: Elegia deusta
Lineage: Eukaryota; Viridiplantae; Streptophyta; Magnoliopsida; Poales; Restionaceae
Description: partial tRNA-Leu
Source: RNAcentral
AGUAAGAGGAAAAUCCGUCGAUUUUCAAGAUCGUGAGGGUUCAAAUCCCUC